Molecule: ribosomal RNA, 497 nt
Filed under: uncultured bacterium
Lineage: Bacteria
Description: partial 16S ribosomal RNA
Rfam family: Bacterial small subunit ribosomal RNA
Source: RNAcentral
UCUUCCCUCUUUCUUCGUGCCUAAUACAUGCAAGUCGAGCGAACGGACGAGAAGCUUGCUUCUCUGAUGUUAGCGGCGGACGGGUGAGUAACACGUGGAUAACCUACCUAUAAGACUGGGAUAACUUCGGGAAACCGGAGCUAAUACCGGAUGAUAUUUUGAACCGCAUGGUUCAAAAGUGAAAGACGGUCUUGCUGUCACUUAUAGAUGGAUCCGCGCUGCAUUAGCUAGUUGGUAAGGUAAUGGCUUACCAAGGCAACGAUGCAUAGCCGACCUGAGAGGGUGAUCGGCCACACUGGAACUGAGACACGGUCCAGACUCCUACGGGAGGCAGCAGUAGGGAAUCUUCCGCAAUGGGCGAAAGCCUGACGGAGCAACGCCGCGUGAGUGAUGAAGGUCUUCGGAUCGUAAAACUCUGUUAUUAGGGAAGAACAUAUGUGUAAGUAACUGUGCACAUCUUGACGGUACCUAAUCAGAAAGCCACGGCUAACUACGUG